GCCGAGGUGGUGAAAUUGGUAGACACGCUAGCUUGAGGGGUUAGUAGCCGCAAGGCUGUGCAGGUUCAAGUCCUGUUCUCGGCACCA
Molecule: transfer RNA, 87 nt
Filed under: Candidatus Marinamargulisbacteria bacterium SCGC AAA071-K20
Lineage: Bacteria; Bacillati; Candidatus Margulisiibacteriota; Candidatus Marinamargulisbacteria
Description: tRNA-Leu
Rfam family: tRNA
About the family: Transfer RNA (tRNA) molecules are approximately 80 nucleotides in length. Their secondary structure includes four short double-helical elements and three loops (D, anti-codon, and T loops). Further hydrogen bonds mediate the characteristic L-shaped molecular structure. tRNAs have two regions of fundamental functional importance: the anti-codon, which is responsible for specific mRNA codon recognition, and the 3' end, to which the tRNAs corresponding amino acid is attached (by aminoacyl-tRNA synthetases). tRNAs cope with the degeneracy of the genetic code in two manners: having more than one tRNA (with a specific anti-codon) for a particular amino acid; and 'wobble' base-pairing, i.e. permitting non-standard base-pairing at the 3rd anti-codon position.
Source: RNAcentral